Molecule: long non-coding RNA, 1535 nt
Filed under: Malus domestica (apple)
Lineage: Eukaryota; Viridiplantae; Streptophyta; Magnoliopsida; Rosales; Rosaceae
Description: long non-coding RNA (MDOM_LNC007879)
Source: RNAcentral
AAAACUUGAUGUACUAAAUGUUGAAAACCACGAAACAUGAGGGUAGUAAAUAGAGAUUUACCUUUUUUUUUUUAAAUAGAGAUUGGUUGUUCAUGUGUAACUAUUGUUUCAUAUACAUGAGUCUUUGUCUACAUCCUACAUGUGCCCUCAUUGUACUUUUCUCUUCUUUGCUAAUACGUUUUAGUAGAUAUGGGUGUCUAGGGAGCUAGGGACCAAGGGCAUUAAGUUUAUCGGGGGCCGAAAUUCCCUCUAAUCGCUAUGUGUUGGGAAAGUAAGCUGUUGUAGUAGUUCGAUGACUUAACCCCGAAUGUAUAGUUCUGCUCACAUAAUCAUUUGGCCCUUGCCAUGCCAAUGCUAGAUUUAAGAAAAAAUUAAAACAAAAAUCGUAAAAAUUAAGAACACUUCUGCUUAAGAAUAGGGAACAUAUAUAUGUGAUAUCCAAAGGCGCCAUUGAAGCCACAUUCCUAAUAAUUAUCUCCUUUUUGUAGUCAAAAUUUCACGCAUAACUAAUUGAGGUUAAGGAGAGUUGAUUAGUCAUCAAAUAAUUGAAGACCUUCGGUUCAAAUUGUUGGAUUCCACAUCAGCAUGGCAUGGAGAGUUCAUUUCAUCCAGAUUGCAUUUGUUCGUUCAUUCUGUCAUAUCAGUUAAAAUCAUAGACUCAAAGAUUGACAGACAAGAUGAACAAUUGAAGGAAGGUCGAUCGCAUUUGGAAUUCACGAUCCUUAUCGAAAGUGCAGUACAUGAAUUUGUAAUGAAAUAAGUGUGGGGUGGCCGGGUGGGGGUCCUUGAAGUUUGAGACACUGUCUUAAUAUGGAAAAAACACAAAGCAUAUCAAUGCCUAACACACCAAAAAAGAAGCAUUUAUUUGGCUUGUAGGCAACUUUACUCGUACGCCAAACACUUGACAAAGUCAUUCACCUCUUCUUUAGACAGUGCAUGCAUCGAUUUUGUCUCCGGUUUUCUUUGGAAAUAAACUUUCUUCGUUCUUUGUGAGCUUUAAUUUCACCGCGCCCUUCAUUAGCUUCGCCACUGUAUGUGAAAGCUUCAAUUUCAUCAUGUAUAUUCCAUGCAAUUGCAUAUAUAAACUAAUCGGAUUGUUGUAAUGAAUAAACACACUUAAUUCUCUCAUAUGGAGAGGAGGGCCGGGGUGGGCUGGGUUAGAGUGGCUAAGUUUCUGACACACCCCGAUUCGGAAUGUCCACAAGGACUCCAAAUCAAGUUGUGUUGCCCGACACCUGAAUGGGCGGAAACAGAAAAUGUGAAUGGCCUGAAAACAAAGUUUUAAUAAAGAUCUUCUAAACGUUAUAACCACCUGCUUAGUUUCCAGAAAAUCAUACUACAUAUAAGGAUGAAAUCAAUUGUAUACUAUUAGUAAAUCCAGAAGUAUACCAUGAUUCAACAUCUCAUCAGCAAUAUAAAUAAUCAGGUGCUUAAUAAUCCAUACUAGCAUGCAAGUCGGAGUCACCUAAUGUGAUUUGUACGACUACACCCAUAUCUCAUCAAUUAAUGCUAGCACGUAAGUCGGAGUCACCUAU